GGAAGAUGUAACGGGGCUAAGCCAGUUACCGAAGCUGCGGAUGUGCAAUUUAUUGCACGUGGUAGGAGAGCGUUCUGUAAGCCUGUGAAGGUGGGUUGUGAAGCCUGCUGGAGGUAUCAGAAGUGCGAAUGCUGACAUGAGUAGCGUUAAAGGGGGUGAAAAGCCCCCUCGCCGAAAGCGCAAGGUUUCCUACGCAACGUUCAUCGGCGUAGGGUGAGUCGGCCCCUAAGGUGAGGCAGAGAUGCGUUACUGAUGGGAAACAGGUGAAUAUUCCUGUACCGAUGUGUAGUGCGAUGUGGGGACGGAGAAGGUUAGCUCAGCCAACUGUUGGAUAUGUUGGUUCAAGCGUGUAGUCGUAUCCCUUAGGCAAAUCCGGGGGAAUUAGAUGAGGCGUGAUAACGAGUCUGCUUGCAGACGAAGUGAGUGAUACCCUGCUUCCAAGAAAAGCCACUAAGCUUCAGCUACACACGACCGUACCGCAAACCGACACUGGUGCGCGAGAUGAGUAUCCUAAGGCGCUUGAGAGAACUCUGGAGAAGGAACUCGGCAAAUUGACACCGUAACUUCGGAAGAAGGUGUGCCUUUAGUAGGUGAACCAUUUACUUGGGGAGCCCAAUGAGGCCGCAGAGAAUCGGUGGCUGCAACUGUUUAUUAAAAACACAGCACUCUGCAAAGACGAAAGUCGACGUAUAGGGUGUGACUCCUGCCCGGUGCUGGAAGAUUAAAUGAUGGGGUGCAAGCUCUUGACUGAAGUCCCAGUAAACGGCGGCCGUAACUAUAACGGUCCUAAGGUAGCGAAAUUCCUUGUCGGGUAAGUUCCGACCUGCACGAAUGGAGUAAUGAUGGCCACACUGUCUCCUCCAGAGACUCAGCGAAGUUGAAAUGUUUGUGAUGAUGCAAUCUCCCCGCGGAAAGACGGAAAGACCCCAUGAACCUUUACUGUAGCUUUACAUUGGACUUUGAACAGAUCAGUGUAGGAUAGGUGGGAGGCUUUGAAACCAGGACGCUAGUUUUGGUGGAGCCAACGUUGUAAUACCACCCUGGUGUGUUUGAGGUUCUAACCUUGGCCCGUUAUCCGGGUCGGGGACAGUGUAUGGUGGGCAGUUUGACUGGGGCGGUCUCCUCCCAAAGUGUAACGGAGGAGUUCGAAGGUACGCUAAAUACGGUCGGAAAUCGUGUUGAUAGUGCAUUGGCAUAAGCGUGCUUGACUGCGAGACUGACAAGUCGAGCAGGUACGAAAGUAGGACAAAGUGAUCCGGUGGUUCUUUAUGGAAGGGCCAUCGCUCAACGGAUAAAAGGUACUCUGGGGAUAACAGGCUGAUACCGCCCAAGAGUUCAUAUCGACGGCG
RNAcentral lists this ribosomal RNA (1349 nucleotides) under metagenome. RNAcentral describes it as "bacterial LSU rRNA". It matches the Rfam family "Bacterial large subunit ribosomal RNA", at positions 1165 to 2513 of the family's 2925-position model. The record is from RNAcentral.